CCUACGGGUGGCUGCAGUGGGGAAUAUUGGACAAUGGGCGAAAGCCUGAUCCAGCCAUGCCGCGUGUGUGAAGAAGGCCUUCGGGUUGUAAAGCACUUUCAGUGGGGAAGAAAGCCUUGGGGCUAAUACCCUCGAGGAAGGACAUCGCCCACAGAAGAAGCACCGGCUAACUCCGUGCCAGCAGCCGCGGUAAUACGGAGGGUGCGAGCGUUAAUCGGAAUUACUGGGCGUAAAGCGCGCGUAGGCGGUCUGAUAAGCCGGUUGUGAAAGCCCCGGGCUCAACCUGGGAACGGCAUCCGGAACUGUCAGGCUAGAGUGCAGGAGAGGAAGGUAGAAUUCCCGGUGUAGCGGUGAAAUGCGUAGAGAUCGGGAGGAAUACCAGUGGCGAAGGCGGCCUUCUGGACUGACACUGACGCUGAGGUGCGAAAGCGUGGGUAGCAAACAGGAUUAGAUACCCGAGUAGUU
Molecule: ribosomal RNA, 465 nt
Filed under: Vreelandella stevensii
Lineage: Bacteria; Pseudomonadati; Pseudomonadota; Gammaproteobacteria; Oceanospirillales; Halomonadaceae
Description: partial 16S ribosomal RNA
Rfam family: Bacterial small subunit ribosomal RNA
Source: RNAcentral